Molecule: non-coding RNA, 30 nt
Filed under: Mus musculus (house mouse)
Lineage: Eukaryota; Metazoa; Chordata; Mammalia; Rodentia; Muridae
Source: RNAcentral
UGAUAUUUGUAGGCAUGUUCCUGAGCGGUU